CGAGUCGGCCGGGUGAUCGCGGCAGCAAUGCCGAGGAAAGUCCGGACUCCACAGAGCAGGGUGGUGGGUAACGCCCACCCGGGGUGACCCGCGGGACAGUGCCACAGAGAACAGACCGCCCACCAAGGCGCCGGGUUCGCCCGGUGACCGGUGGGUCAGGGUGAAACGGUGGUGUAAGAGACCACCAGCACCCCCGGUGACGGGGGUGGCUCGGUAAACCCCACCCGGAGCAAGACCAAGAAGGGCUUCGGCCCGCGGACGCCGUUCGAGCGCUGCUCGCGCGAGGCGUCCGGGUAGGUCGCACGACAUCGCCGGCCGGUGGCCGGUGGAUCGAAGGCGGUUGGUGACAGCCGUCGCAGAUGGAUGAUCGCCGCCUCCUCCGGGAGGUACAGAAUCCGGCUUACAGGCCGACUCGUCCC
RNAcentral lists this RNase P RNA (419 nucleotides) under Propionibacterium sp. RNAcentral describes it as "RNase P RNA component class A". It matches the Rfam family "Bacterial RNase P class A". From Rfam's summary of the family: Ribonuclease P (RNase P) is a ubiquitous endoribonuclease, found in archaea, bacteria and eukarya as well as chloroplasts and mitochondria. Its best characterised activity is the generation of mature 5'-ends of tRNAs by cleaving the 5'-leader elements of precursor-tRNAs. Cellular RNase Ps are ribonucleoproteins. The record is from RNAcentral. Lineage: Bacteria; Bacillati; Actinomycetota; Actinomycetes; Propionibacteriales; Propionibacteriaceae.